UGAGUUGUAUUCAUAAAUAAUAAAAUAUUGAAUAAAAAGAAAUUUUAUAUAUGCCCACUUUUUAUACCACCCUCAAUGUUUAUUAUUUAGAACUCUGUUUUCUAUUUUGCUUUCAUAUUAUUUUUUGGUAUUUUCUUUUUUAUAUUUUUUUUUCUUUUUUUUACAGAGCUCUAGAUAAUAAAAAUAUCAGAUGUUAAAGGUUGUAGCUUUAAACAAAGCGAUUCAAAAUCAAAUAAUUGCAAAAUUUUAAGACAAUGUUAGCAUGUAAUAUUCAGAAAAAAAAAAUGGCUCCAAAUUACUAAAAUGAAAAAAAACUGCACUUUCAAUUAAAUAUUCCAAUUUUUAAAGCCAUUUUUGGCAUACAAAAUAUACAGCUUAACAAAAUGACAAGUUAAUACACUAAUAAAAGAAAAGAACUAUUCAGCACAAAAUAAUUUACCAAAAACUGAGUUGUAUUCAUAAAUAAUAAAAUAUUGAAUAAAAAGAAAUUUUAUAUAUGCCCACUUUUUAUACCACCCUCAAUGUUUAUUUUCUAGAACUCUGUUUACAAAUUUUGUUUUCAUAUUAUUUUUUGGUAUAUCCUUUUUUUCUAUUUUUUUCUAUUUUUUUUUAACAGAGCUCUAGAUAAUAAAAAUAUCAGAUGUUAAAGGUUGGAGGUAUAAAAAAGUCAUUCUCAAUCAGAAUAUUGCAAAAUUUUAAUGUUAUUGGAUUUUCUCAUUGUUGAAGCCCAUACAGUAACCUAUUUUAUAUUAACACCAUUUGGUCUCUGUAGGAUAGUUGUCUCACAUCUCUUUGAUAUCAUAACAAAUCAAUUUGUAGGUUCUAUAAAGUGGGCCAAUGUUCACACAUUGUUUUUAUUUGAACAGCAAUUUUCAGAUCUCAGGACAAGUUUUCUUUGGAACACAUUAUAAAUUUUUGUUUUUCAAAUGAUUUCAACUGACAUAAACAAGACUGGAAAGGUCGAAAUUACCAAAAUGCUAAUUUCACUAUUAUUGGUUCUUUUGUCGUGCCCAGCUCUUAAUGAUGGAAAACCCUGUAUCACAGUAACAUUCCUUUAAAUGAACUGGAGAAGUCUUGAUUACAAUAAUCAUAUUGCUUUUUACUUUUCAACACUAUUGGAUCUUGUGUCAUACCAGCUUUAGAUGGUGGAUGGAGUAUAUGGAGGUGUUAAGAAUUGCACAAGAGGUGUUCCUGCUACCUCUCUAUAUGUAGACAAUGUCACUGUUGUUGUGACGUUCUCAUUUCUAAGCCUUAAUUUAUGUCCGUUACAACGCCCUUAGGGAGAAAAACUACACCCUCAAAUGGACUGUAGAAGUCCAGAUUACAAUAAUGGUACUUUCAGCACCAUUGCACGGUUUGGUUGUCUUGCCCAGCUCUUAAUGGUCCAAAAUGCUGUACAAUGGAUUAUGUUUUAAAAAUUGAAGAUAAAAGAUUAAGUUUUGAAUAUCUUCUUUUUUUCUCUGAAGAUGGCAAAUCAAAUUAUUAAUUCACGAGCUCUAGAUAAUAAAAAUAUCAGGUGUUAAAGUUUGGAGGUAUAAACAAGUCAUUCUCAAUCAAAAUAUUGCAAAAUUGUAAUGUUAGUGGAUUUUCUCAUUGUUGAAGCCCAUACAGUAACCUAUUUUACAUUAACAUCAUUUGGUCUCUGUAGGAUAGUUGUCUCACAUCUCUUUGAUAUCAUAACAAAUCAAUUUGUAGGUUCUAUAAAGUGGGCCAAGAGUGAAGGUAGGGGAAAUUUUGACUGCCAACCGAGGAGGAAAUUGUUGGACAGAAAUUUGGCCUAAUGCAACAAGCCACGUCCUACUGACACCUCAAAAGAGUUGUGACAAGGGUUCUUUAACAUGCAGAGUUGCACUGUCCCUACAGAAAGGACCUAUACUUUUUAAACUGCCAUUCCAAUUUUUGUUUUGUUUUAAAUAUGAUAACUUUAGAAGACUUAAAGGCGGGGGGUCAUAAAAAUAUCAAAAAUAAUCCCACCCUCAAUGUUUAUUAUCUAGAACUCUGUUUUCUAUUUUGCUUUCAUAUUAUUUUUUGGUAUUUUCUUUUUUAUAUAUUUUUUUCUUUUUUUUUUACAGAGCUCUAGAUAAUAAAAAUAUUCAGAUGUUAAAGUUUGGAGGUAUAAAAACAAGUCAUUCUAAAUCAGAAUAUUGCACAAUUUUAAUGUUAGUGGAUUUUCUCAUUGUUGAAGCCCAUACAGUAACCUAUUUUACAUUAACAUCAUUUGGUCUCUGUAGGAUAGUUGUCUCACAUCUCUUGAUAUCACAACAAAUCAAUUUGUAGGUUCUAUAAAGUGGUCCAAUCCUAUGGUGAAGGGAGGGGGAAUUUUGACUGCCAACCGAAGAGGAUAUUUUUGGACAGAAAUUUAGCCUAUUAAUGCAACAAGCCACAUCCUACUGACACCUCAAAAGAGUUGUGACAAGGGUUCUUUAACGUGCAGAGUGGCACUGUCUGUCCCUACAAAUAGGACCUAUACUUUCCCGCUACCUCUAUGUGUAGACAACAUCACUGUUGUGACAUUCUUAUUUCUAAGCCUUAAUUUAUGUCCGUUACAACGCCCUUAGGGAGGAAAUAGUAGCAGAUAGUAGCAGAUAUUACUACACCCUCAAAUGGAUUGUAGAAGUCCAGUUUACAAUAAUGGUACUUUCAGCACCAUAACCUGCUUUGGUUGUCUUGUCCAGCUCUCAAUGGUCCAAAAUGCUGUACAAUGGAUUAUGAUUUAAAAAUUGAAGAUAAAAGAUUAAGUUUUGAAUAUAUCUACUUUUUUUCUUUGAAGAUGGCAAAUCAAAUUAUUAAUUCAUUAAAAAUUCAGAAUAACUCAAAUCUUUACACCACACAAACGCGACAACAAAGAAUGUGCAAUGAAAAGAAUUGAGUUAUUGUUUGAAACAUCAAAAAUGUUAAAGUUUCACGCAUUGUUUUUUAUUUGAACAGCAAUUUUCAGAUCUCAGGACAAGUUUUCUUUGGAACACACUCAGGACAAGUUAUCUUUGGAAGACAUUAUAAAUUUCUGUUUUGCAAAAGAUUAAAAGUUUUGGAUACUUUCUUUUUUUCUUUGAAGAUAACAAAUCUAAUUAUUAAUUCAUUAAAAAUUCAGACUAACCCAAUUGUUUACACCACACAAACUUUCCGGAGGUAACAUAUUUAUUUUUUGUCCAUUCUUUUUUCUUUCUUUUUUUCUUUUUUUUAAAAUAUACUGCAGUGCCAACAAAGAAUGUGCAAUGACAAGAAAUGAGUUAUUGUUUGAAAAUCAAAAAUGUUAAAUGUUCACAUUGUUUUUAUUUGAACAGCAAUUUUCAGAUCUCAGGACAAGUUUUCUUUGGAACACAUUAUAAAUUUUUGUUUUUCAAAUGAUUUCAACUGACAUAAACAAGACUGGAAAGGUCGAAAUUACCAAAAUGCUAAUUUCACUAUUAUUGGUUCUUUUGUCGUGCCCAGCUCUUAAUGAUGGAAAACCCUGUAUCACAGUAACAUUCCUUUAAAUGAACUGGAGAAGUCUUGAUUACAAUAAUCAUAUUGCUUUUUACUUUUCAACACUAUUGGAUCUUGUGUCAUACCAGCUUUAGAUGGUGGAUGGAGUAUAUGGAGGUGUUAAGAAUUGCACAAGAGGUGUUCCUGCUACCUCUCUAUAUGUAGACAAUGUCACUGUUGUUGUGACGUUCUUAUUUCUAAGCCUUAAUUUAUGUCCGUUACAACGCCCUUAGGGAGGAAAACUACACCCUCAAAUGGACUGUAGAAGUCCAGAUUACAAUAAUGGUACUUUCAGCACCAUUGCACGGUUUGGUUGUCUUGCCCAGCUCUUAAUGGUCCAAAAUGCUGUACAAUGGAUUAUGAUUUAAAAAUUGAAGAUAAAAGAUUAAGUUUUGAAUAUAUCUACUUUUUUUCUUUGAAGAUGGCAAAUCAAAUUAUUAAUUCAUUAAAAAUUCAGAAUAACUCAAAUCUUUACACCACACAAACGCGACAACAAAGAAUGUGCAAUGAAAAGAAUUGAGUUAUUGUUUGAAACAUCAAAAAUGUUAAAGUUUCACGCAUUGUUUUUUAUUUGAACAGCAAUUUUCAGAUCUCAGGACAAGUUUUCUUUGGAACACACUCAGGACAAGUUAUCUUUGGAAGACAUUAUAAAUUUCUGUUUUGCAAAAGAUUAAAAGUUUUGGAUACUUUCUUUUUUUCUUUGAAGAUAACAAAUCUAAUUAUUAAUUCAUUAAAAAUUCAGACUAACCCAAUUGUUUACACCACACAAACUUUCCGGAGGUAACAUAUUUAUUUUUUGUCCAUUCUUUUUUCUUUCUUUUUUUCUUUUUUUUAAAAUAUACUGCAGUGCCAACAAAGAAUGUGCAAUGACAAGAAAUGAGUUAUUGUUUGAAAAUCAAAAAUGUUAAAUGUUCACAUUGUUUUUAUUUGAACAGCAAUUUUCAGAUCUCAGGACAAGUUUUCUUUGGAACACAUUAUAAAUUUUUGUUUUUCAAAUGAUUUCAACUGACAUAAACAAGACUGGAAAGGUCGAAAUUACCAAAAUGCUAAUUUCACUAUUAUUGGUUCUUUUGUCGUGCCCAGCUCUUAAUGAUGGAAAACCCUGUAUCACAGUAACAUUCCUUUAAAUGAACUGGAGAAGUCUUGAUUACAAUAAUCAUAUUGCUUUUUACUUUUCAACACUAUUGGAUCUUGUGUCAUACCAGCUUUAGAUGGUGGAUGGAGUAUAUGGAGGUGUUAAGAAUUGCACAAGAGGUGUUCCUGCUACCUCUCUAUAUGUAGACAAUGUCACUGUUGUUGUGACGUUCUCAUUUCUAAGCCUUAAUUUAUGUCCGUUACAACGCCCUUAGGGAGAAAAACUACACCCUCAAAUGGACUGUAGAAGUCCAGAUUACAAUAAUGGUACUUUCAGCACCAUUGCACGGUUUGGUUGUCUUGCCCAGCUCUUAAUGGUCCAAAAUGCUGUACAAUGGAUUAUGUUUUAAAAAUUGAAGAUAAAAGAUUAAGUUUUGAAUAUCUUCUUUUUUUCUCUGAAGAUGGCAAAUCAAAUUAUUAAUUCACGAGCUCUAGAUAAUAAAAAUAUCAGGUGUUAAAGUUUGGAGGUAUAAACAAGUCAUUCUCAAUCAAAAUAUUGCAAAAUUGUAAUGUUAGCGGAUUUUCUCAUUGUUGAAGCCCAUACAGUAACCUAUUUUACAUUAACAUCAUUUGGUCUCUGUAGGAUAGUUGUCUCACAUCUCUUGAUAUCACAACAAAUCAAUUUGUAGGUUCUAUAAAGUGGGCCAAUGGUGAAGGUAGGGGAAAUUUUGACUGUCAAUCGAGGAGGAAAUUAUUGGACAGAAAUUUGGCCUAACGCAACAAGCCAAGUCCUACUAACACCUCAAAAGAGUUGUGACAAGGGUUCUUCAACGUGCAGAGUUGCACUGUCCCUACAGAAAGGACCUAUACUUUUUAAACUGCCAUUCCAAUUUUUUUUGUUUUAAAUAUGAGAACUUUAGAAGACUUAAAGGUGGGGGUCAUAAAAAUAUCAAAAUUAUCCCACCCUCAAUGUUUAUUAUCUAGAACUAUGUUUUCUAUUUUGCUUUCAUAUUAUUUUUUGGUAUUUUCUUUUUUAUAUUUUUUUUUCUUUUUUUUUUUACAAAGCUCUAGAUAAUAAAAAUAUCAGAUGUUAAAGUUUGGAGGUAUAAACAAGUCAUUCUAAAUCAGAAUAUUGCAAAAUUUUAAUGUUAGUGGAUUUUCUCAUUGUUGAAGCCCAUACAGUAACCUAUUUUACAUUAACAUCAUUUGGUCUCUGUAGGAUAGUUGUCUCACAUCUCUUGAUAUCACAACAAAUCAAUUUGUAGGUUCUAUAAAGUGGUCCAAUCCUAUGGUGAAGGGAGGGGGAAUUUUGACUGCCAACCGAAGAGGAUAUUUUUGGACAGAAAUUUAGCCUAUUAAUGCAACAAGCCACAUCCUACUGACACCUCAAAAGAGUUGUGACAAGGGUUCUUUAACGUGCAGAGUGGCACUGUCUGUCCCUACAAAUAGGACCUAUACUUUCCCGCUACCUCUAUGUGUAGACAACAUCACUGUUGUGACAUUCUUAUUUCUAAGCCUUAAUUUAUGUCCGUUACAACGCCCUUAGGGAGGAAAUAGUAGCAGAUAGUAGCAGAUAUUACUACACCCUCAAAUGGAUUGUAGAAGUCCAGUUUACAAUAAUGGUACUUUCAGCACCAUAACCUGCUUUGGUUGUCUUGUCCAGCUCUCAAUGGUCCAAAAUGCUGUACAAUGGAUUAUGAUUUAAAAAUUGAAGAUAAAAGAUUAAGUUUUGAAUAUAUCUACUUUUUUUCUUUGAAGAUGGCAAAUCAAAUUAUUAAUUCAUUAAAAAUUCAGAAUAACUCAAAUCUUUACACCACACAAACGCGACAACAAAGAAUGUGCAAUGAAAAGAAUUGAGUUAUUGUUUGAAACAUCAAAAAUGUUAAAGUUUCACGCAUUGUUUUUUAUUUGAACAGCAAUUUUCAGAUCUCAGGACAAGUUUUCUUUGGAACACACUCAGGACAAGUUAUCUUUGGAAGACAUUAUAAAUUUCUGUUUUGCAAAAGAUUAAAAGUUUUGGAUACUUUCUUUUUUUCUUUGAAGAUAACAAAUCUAAUUAUUAAUUCAUUAAAAAUUCAGACUAACCCAAUUGUUUACACCACACAAACUUUCCGGAGGUAACAUAUUUAUUUUUUGUCCAUUCUUUUUUCUUUCUUUUUUUCUUUUUUUUAAAAUAUACUGCAGUGCCAACAAAGAAUGUGCAAUGACAAGAAAUGAGUUAUUGUUUGAAAAUCAAAAAUGUUAAAUGUUCACAUUGUUUUUAUUUGAACAGCAAUUUUCAGAUCUCAGGACAAGUUUUCUUUGGAACACAUUAUAAAUUUUUGUUUUUCAAAUGAUUUCAACUGACAUAAACAAGACUGGAAAGGUCGAAAUUACCAAAAUGCUAAUUUCACUAUUAUUGGUUCUUUUGUCGUGCCCAGCUCUUAAUGAUGGAAAACCCUGUAUCACAGUAACAUUCCUUUAAAUGAACUGGAGAAGUCUUGAUUACAAUAAUCAUAUUGCUUUUUACUUUUCAACACUAUUGGAUCUUGUGUCAUACCAGCUUUAGAUGGUGGAUGGAGUAUAUGGAGGUGUUAAGAAUUGCACAAGAGGUGUUCCUGCUACCUCUCUAUAUGUAGACAAUGUCACUGUUGUUGUGACGUUCUCAUUUCUAAGCCUUAAUUUAUGUCCGUUACAACGCCCUUAGGGAGAAAAACUACACCCUCAAAUGGACUGUAGAAGUCCAGAUUACAAUAAUGGUACUUUCAGCACCAUUGCACGGUUUGGUUGUCUUGCCCAGCUCUUAAUGGUCCAAAAUGCUGUACAAUGGAUUAUGUUUUAAAAAUUGAAGAUAAAAGAUUAAGUUUUGAAUAUCUUCUUUUUUUCUCUGAAGAUGGCAAAUCAAAUUAUUAAUUCACGAGCUCUAGAUAAUAAAAAUAUCAGGUGUUAAAGUUUGGAGGUAUAAACAAGUCAUUCUCAAUCAAAAUAUUGCAAAAUUGUAAUGUUAGUGGAUUUUCUCAUUGUUGAAGCCCAUACAGUAACCUAUUUUACAUUAACAUCAUUUGGUCUCUGUAGGAUAGUUGUCUCACAUCUCUUGAUAUCACAACAAAUCAAUUUGUAGGUUCUAUAAAGUGGGCCAAUGGUGAAGGUAGGGGAAAUUUUGACUGUCAAUCGAGGAGGAAAUUAUUGGACAGAAAUUUGGCCUAACGCAACAAGCCAAGUCCUACUAACACCUCAAAAGAGUUGUGACAAGGGUUCUUCAACGUGCAGAGUUGCACUGUCCCUACAGAAAGGACCUAUACUUUUUAAACUGCCAUUCCAAUUUUUUUUGUUUUAAAUAUGAGAACUUUAGAAGACUUAAAGGUGGGGGUCAUAAAAAUAUCAAAAUUAUCCCACCCUCAAUGUUUAUUAUCUAGAACUAUGUUUUCUAUUUUGCUUUCAUAUUAUUUUUUGGUAUUUUCUUUUUUAUAUUUUUUUUUCUUUUUUUUUUUACAAAGCUCUAGAUAAUAAAAAUAUCAGAUGUUAAAGUUUGGAGGUAUAAACAAGUCAUUCUAAAUCAGAAUAUUGCAAAAUUUUAAUGUUAGUGGAUUUUCUCAUUGUUGAAGCCCAUACAGUAACCUAUUUUACAUUAACAUCAUUUGGUCUCUGUAGGAUAGUUGUCUCACAUCUCUUGAUAUCACAACAAAUCAAUUUGUAGGUUCUAUAAAGUGGUCCAAUCCUAUGGUGAAGGGAGGGGGAAUUUUGACUGCCAACCGAAGAGGAUAUUUUUGGACAGAAAUUUAGCCUAUUAAUGCAACAAGCCACAUCCUACUGACACCUCAAAAGAGUUGUGACAAGGGUUCUUUAACGUGCAGAGUGGCACUGUCUGUCCCUACAAAUAGGACCUAUACUUUCCCGCUACCUCUAUGUGUAGACAACAUCACUGUUGUGACAUUCUUAUUUCUAAGCCUUAAUUUAUGUCCGUUACAACGCCCUUAGGGAGGAAAUAGUAGCAGAUAGUAGCAGAUAUUACUACACCCUCAAAUGGAUUGUAGAAGUCCAGUUUACAAUAAUGGUACUUUCAGCACCAUAACCUGCUUUGGUUGUCUUGUCCAGCUCUCAAUGGUCCAAAAUGCUGUACAAUGGAUUAUGAUUUAAAAAUUGAAGAUAAAAGAUUAAGUUUUGAAUAUAUCUACUUUUUUUCUUUGAAGAUGGCAAAUCAAAUUAUUAAUUCAUUAAAAAUUCAGAAUAACUCAAAUCUUUACACCACACAAACGCGACAACAAAGAAUGUGCAAUGAAAAGAAUUGAGUUAUUGUUUGAAACAUCAAAAAUGUUAAAGUUUCACGCAUUGUUUUUUAUUUGAACAGCAAUUUUCAGAUCUCAGGACAAGUUUUCUUUGGAACACACUCAGGACAAGUUAUCUUUGGAAGACAUUAUAAAUUUCUGUUUUGCAAAAGAUUAAAAGUUUUGGAUACUUUCUUUUUUUCUUUGAAGAUAACAAAUCUAAUUAUUAAUUCAUUAAAAAUUCAGACUAACCCAAUUGUUUACACCACACAAACUUUCCGGAGGUAACAUAUUUAUUUUUUGUCCAUUCUUUUUUCUUUCUUUUUUUCUUUUUUUUAAAAUAUACUGCAGUGCCAACAAAGAAUGUGCAAUGACAAGAAAUGAGUUAUUGUUUGAAAAUCAAAAAUGUUAAAUGUUCACAUUGUUUUUAUUUGAACAGCAAUUUUCAGAUCUCAGGACAAGUUUUCUUUGGAACACAUUAUAAAUUUUUGUUUUUCAAAUGAUUUCAACUGACAUAAACAAGACUGGAAAGGUCGAAAUUACCAAAAUGCUAAUUUCACUAUUAUUGGUUCUUUUGUCGUGCCCAGCUCUUAAUGAUGGAAAACCCUGUAUCACAGUAACAUUCCUUUAAAUGAACUGGAGAAGUCUUGAUUACAAUAAUCAUAUUGCUUUUUACUUUUCAACACUAUUGGAUCUUGUGUCAUACCAGCUUUAGAUGGUGGAUGGAGUAUAUGGAGGUGUUAAGAAUUGCACAAGAGGUGUUCCUGCUACCUCUCUAUAUGUAGACAAUGUCACUGUUGUUGUGACGUUCUUAUUUCUAAGCCUUAAUUUAUGUCCGUUACAACGCCCUUAGGGAGGAAAAACUACACCCUCAAAUGGACUGUAGAAGUCCAGAUUACAAUAAUGGUACUUUCAGCACCAUUGCACGGUUUGGUUGUCUUGCCCAGCUCUUAAUGGUCCAAAAUGCUGUACAAUGGAUUAUGUUUUAAAAAUUGAAGAUAAAAGAUUAAGUUUUGAAUAUCUUCUUUUUUUCUCUGAAGAUGGCAAAUCAAAUUAUUAAUUCACGAGCUCUAGAUAAUAAAAAUAUCAGGUGUUAAAGUUUGGAGGUAUAAACAAGUCAUUCUCAAUCAAAAUAUUGCAAAAUUGUAAUGUUAGUGGAUUUUCUCAUUGUUGAAGCCCAUACAGUAACCUAUUUUACAUUAACAUCAUUUGGUCUCUGUAGGAUAGUUGUCUCACAUCUCUUGAUAUCACAACAAAUCAAUUUGUAGGUUCUAUAAAGUGGGCCAAUGGUGAAGGUAGGGGAAAUUUUGACUGUCAAUCGAGGAGGAAAUUAUUGGACAGAAAUUUGGCCUAACGCAACAAGCCAAGUCCUACUAACACCUCAAAAGAGUUGUGACAAGGGUUCUUCAACGUGCAGAGUUGCACUGUCCCUACAGAAAGGACCUAUACUUUUUAAACUGCCAUUCCAAUUUUUUUUGUUUUAAAUAUGAGAACUUUAGAAGACUUAAAGGUGGGGGUCAUAAAAAUAUCAAAAUUAUCCCACCCUCAAUGUUUAUUAUCUAGAACUAUGUUUUCUAUUUUGCUUUCAUAUUAUUUUUUGGUAUUUUCUUUUUUAUAUUUUUUUUUCUUUUUUUUUUUACAAAGCUCUAGAUAAUAAAAAUAUCAGAUGUUAAAGUUUGGAGGUAUAAACAAGUCAUUCUAAAUCAGAAUAUUGCAAAAUUUUAAUGUUAGUGGAUUUUCUCAUUGUUGAAGCCCAUACAGUAACCUAUUUUACAUUAACAUCAUUUGGUCUCUGUAGGAUAGUUGUCUCACAUCUCUUGAUAUCACAACAAAUCAAUUUGUAGGUUCUAUAAAGUGGUCCAAUCCUAUGGUGAAGGGAGGGGGAAUUUUGACUGCCAACCGAAGAGGAUAUUUUUGGACAGAAAUUUAGCCUAUUAAUGCAACAAGCCACAUCCUACUGACACCUCAAAAGAGUUGUGACAAGGGUUCUUUAACGUGCAGAGUGGCACUGUCUGUCCCUACAAAUAGGACCUAUACUUUCCCGCUACCUCUAUGUGUAGACAACAUCACUGUUGUGACAUUCUUAUUUCUAAGCCUUAAUUUAUGUCCGUUACAACGCCCUUAGGGAGGAAAUAGUAGCAGAUAUUACUACACCCUCAAAUGGAUUGUAGAAGUCCAGUUUACAAUAAUGGUACUUUCAGCACCAUAACCCGCUUUGGUUGUCUUGUCCAGCUCUUAAUGGUCCAAAAUGCUGUACAAUGGAUUAUGAUUUAAAAAUUGAAGAUAAAAGAUUAAGUUUUGAAUAUAUCUACUUUUUUUCUUUGAAGAUGGCAAAUCAAAUUAUUAAUUCAUUAAAAAUUCAGAAUAACUCAAAUCUUUACACCACACAAACGCGCCAACAAAGAAUGUGCAAUGAAAAGAAUUGAGUUAUUGUUUGAAACAUCAAAAAUGUUAAAGUUUCACGCAUUGUUUUUUAUUUGAACAGCAAUUUUCAGAUCUCAGGACAAGUUUUCUUUGGAACACACUCAGGACAAGUUAUCUUUGGAAGACAUUAUAAAUUUCUGUUUUGCAAAAGAUUAAAAGUUUUGGAUACUUUCUUUUUUUCUUUGAAGAUAACAAAUCUAAUUAUUAAUUCAUUAAAAAUUCAGACUAACCCAAUUGUUUACACCACACAAACUUUCCGGAUAACAUAUUUAUUUUUUGUCCAUUCUUUUUUCUUUCUUUUUUUAAAAUAUACUGCAGUGCCAACAAAGAAUGUGCAAUGACAAGAAAUGAGUUAUUGUUUGAAAAUCAAAAAUGUUAAAUGUUCACAUUGUUUUUAUUUGAACAGCAAUUUUCAGAUCUCAGGACAAGUUUUCUUUGGAACACAUUAUAAAUUUUUGUUUUUCAAAUGAUUUCAACUGACAUAAACAAGACUGGAAAGGUCGAAAUUACCAAAAUGCUAAUUUCACUAUUAUUGGUUCUUUUGUCGUGCCCAGCUCUUAAUGAUGGAAAACCCUGUAUCACAGUAACAUUCCUUUAAAUGAACUGGAGAAGUCUUGAUUACAAUAAUCAUAUUGCUUUUUACUUUUCAACACUAUUGGAUCUUGUGUCAUACCAGCUUUAGAUGGUGGAUGGAGUAUAUGGAGGUGUUAAGAAUUGCACAAGAGGUGUUCCUGCUACCUCUCUAUAUGUAGACAACGUCACUGUUGUUGUGACGUUCUUAUUUCUAAGCCUUAAUUUAUGUCCGUUACAACGCCCUUAGGGAGGAAAACUACACCCUCAAAUGGACUGUAGAAGUCCAGAUUACAAUAAUGGUACUUUCAGCACCAUUGCACGGUUUGGUUGUCUUGCCCAGCUCUUAAUGGUCCAAAAUGCUGUACAAUGGAUUAUGUUUUAAAAAUUGAAGAUAAAAGAUUAAGUUUUGAAUAUCUUCUUUUUUUCUCUGAAGAUGGCAAAUCAAAUUAUUAAUUCACGAGCUCUAGAUAAUAAAAAUAUCAGGUGUUAAAGUUUGGAGGUAUAAA
RNAcentral lists this long non-coding RNA (12286 nucleotides) under Mytilus galloprovincialis (Mediterranean mussel). The record is from RNAcentral. Lineage: Eukaryota; Metazoa; Mollusca; Bivalvia; Mytilida; Mytilidae.